AUGGAUUACUCAAUAAUGAAAAACAUCCCAGAUGUGUCAGGACUGUCCUGUGACCAAGUCACGCAAGGACUCGGAAAGCUUCUUCAGAAAAACAGCUGCAGAGAUAACACAGAGCAAUCACUGUUCAACAAGGAUUUCUUCAAGGUCUGUGAUGGUUUCGACAUGUUUGGGUCAGGGAACUGCCAUUAUUUGGAGGUGUGGCCUUGUUGGAGUAGGUGUGUCACUGUGGGUGUGGAUUUAAUAACCUCAUCCUAGCUGCCUGGAAUUCAGUCUGCCACUAGCAGCCUUCAGAUGAAGAUGUAGAACUCUCGGCUCCUCCCACACCGUGCCUGUCCGAAUGCUGCCCAUGUCUCCCACCUUGAUGAUAGUGAACUGAGCCUCUGAACCUAUAAGCCAGCCCCAAGUAAAUGCUGUCCUUUAUAAGACUUGCCUUGGCUAUGGUGUUUGUUCAUAGCAGUAAAAUCCUAACUAAGACAAGGUCAAAGGGCAUCUAGAAAACAAGUGUUUAUUUUAAUGUUUA
Molecule: long non-coding RNA, 520 nt
Filed under: Mus spicilegus (steppe mouse)
Lineage: Eukaryota; Metazoa; Chordata; Mammalia; Rodentia; Muridae
Description: lncRNA (ENSMSIG00000022174.1)
Source: RNAcentral